This 370-nucleotide ribosomal RNA is filed under the name uncultured Frankia sp. RNAcentral describes it as "bacterial SSU rRNA". It matches the Rfam family "Bacterial small subunit ribosomal RNA", at positions 34 to 414 of the family's 1533-position model. The record is from RNAcentral. Lineage: Bacteria; Bacillati; Actinomycetota; Actinomycetes; Frankiales; Frankiaceae.
CGCUGGCGGCGUGCUUAACACAUGCAAGUCGAGCGAGGAACUUCGGUUCCUAGCGGCGAACGGGUGAGUAACACGUGGGCAACCUGCCCCGAGCUCUGGGAUAACUUCGGGAAACCGGGGCUAAUACCGGAUAUGACACUACUGGACAUCUGGUGGUGUGGAAAGAUUUAUCGGCUUGGGAUGGGCCCGCGGCCUAUCAGCUUGUUGGUGGGGUAACGGCCUACCAAGGCGACGACGGGUAGCCGGCCUGAGAGGGCGAUCGGCCACACUGGGACUGAGACACGGCCCAGACUCCUACGGGAGGCAGCAGUGGGGAAUAUUGCGCAAUGGGCGGAAGCCUGACGCAGCGACGCCGCGUGGGGGAUGAAGG